RNAcentral lists this unclassified non-coding RNA (433 nucleotides) under soil metagenome. RNAcentral describes it as "partial contains 5.8S ribosomal RNA, internal transcribed spacer 2, and large subunit ribosomal RNA". The stretch from base 1 to 120 matches the Rfam family "5.8S ribosomal RNA", at positions 35 to 154 of the family's 154-position model. The record is from RNAcentral.
GAUGAAGAACGCAGCGAAAUGCGAUACGUAAUGUGAAUUGCAGAAUUCAGUGAAUCAUCGAAUCUUUGAACGCAUAUUGCGCUCUCUGGUAUUCCGGAGAGCAUGCUUGUUUGAGUAUCAGUAAACACCUCAACUCCCCUUUCUUUUUUUGAAAUGGGAGCUGGACUUGAGUGAUCCCAACGCUUUUCUCACCGAAAAGUGGCGGGUUACUUGAAAUGCAGGUGCAGCUGGACUUUUCUCUGAGCUAAAAGCAUAUCUAUUUAGUCUGCCUAAAAAACAGAUUAUUACCUUUGCCGCAGCUAACAUAAAGGAGAUUAGUUCUUGUGCUGACUGAUGCAGGAUUCACAGAGACAGCUUCGGCUGGCCUUUGUAAACUCGAUCUCAAAUCAAGUAAGACUACCCGCUGAACUUAAGCAUAUCAAUAAGCGGAGGA